GAACGCGGGCGGCGUGCCUAACACAUGCAAGUCGAGCGGGAAAGCCCGCAAGGGUGAGUACAGCGGCGCACGGGUGCGUAACACGUGGGUAAUCUGCCCUGAAGCUCGGGAUAACUCGCCGAAAGGCGUGCUAAUACCGGAUAAGACCACGGGAGCCUCGGCUCCUGCGGGAAAAGGUGGCCUCUGCAUGCAAGCUAUCACUUCAGGAUGAGCCCGCGGCCCAUCAGCUCGUUGGCGGGGUAACGGCCCACCAAGGCUACGACGGGUAGCUGGUCUGAGAGGACGAUCAGCCACACUGGAACUGAGACACGGUCCAGACUCCUACGGGAGGCAGCAGUGGGGAAUCUUGCGCAAUGGGCGAAAGCCUGACGCAGCAACGCCGCGUGUGUGAUGAAGGUCUUCGGAUCGUAAAGCACUGUCGGGAGGGACGAAUAAGGGCCGGGUGAACAAUCCGGUCCGAUGACGGUACCUCCAAAGGAAGCACCGGCUAACUCUGUGCCAGCAGCCGCGGUAAUACAGAGGGUGCAAGCGUUGUUCGGAAUUAUUGGGCGUAAAGCGCGUGUAGGCGGUCUCGCAAGUCGGAUGUGAAAGCCCUCGGCUUAACCGAGGAAGUGCGUUCGAAACUACGAGACUUGAGUACCGGAGAGGGUGGCGGAAUUCCCGGUGUAGAGGUGAAAUUCGUAGAUAUCGGGAGGAACACCAGUGGCGAAGGCGGCCACCUGGACGGCUACUGACGCUGAGACGCGAAAGCGUGGGGAGCAAACAGGAUUAGAUACCCUGGUAGUCCACGCUGUAAACGAUGAGCGCUAGGUGUUGUGGGUGUUGACCCCCGCAGUGCCGCAGCUAACGCAUUAAGCGCUCCGCCUGGGAAGUACGGCCGCAAGG
RNAcentral lists this ribosomal RNA (885 nucleotides) under uncultured bacterium. RNAcentral describes it as "bacterial SSU rRNA". It matches the Rfam family "Bacterial small subunit ribosomal RNA", at positions 31 to 893 of the family's 1533-position model. The record is from RNAcentral.